GGCCUGGCCAUCAGGGAGAGCAGAUGUGCAUAGCAUGAGCUCCUCCACCAAACCUUCAUUCUCUGGAGGGAUAUCACCCUCAAAAGCUACCAAACCGAUUGCUUUCCUGCCCCUGAUUGCGAGAAAGCUCUCUGGGGCAAAUGUGAAACCUCUCUGUAAAGCCUGGGGCCAGAAACUGUCUUGCGGCCGACACGCUGGCGGACCCCGUGGUGGGGAGAAACGGCCGAUCUCCUGGCCUGGAGUUGCCGACACUGGCAACAUCUAUUGCUACAGCCUCGUCCCCCCUCCUUGGACCGAUGAGGGUUAUCCCGGUCCCCACUGGAUGCUACGGCGCACGAUAGUGCAACUCUAGCUGCAGAAUCUAAGCUGGAGGGCCUGAUACACAGCUUACUAUUCUAAGAUGGCGGCGCUCACUCCACAUGGCCCCGAAUGCAUGCAACAGGGGCUGGUAUACCCGGACCCCAUUGCUCACUCUCUGCGGCGGCUGGAGGAAGUGCUACAAUGCUUCUGGGAAUACAUGGAGACACGGCAAGAGGCAAAGCCACAACAAUCCCAAGUGGGAGACUGAGAGAGCGGCAGCCAGGUGGUGAGUGGGCCCCCCCUGGCACUCACUUCCCCACACAGCGAGUAACCUCUACCACGAGACCACUGGGGCCAAAGGCCAAAAGGAUUAAAACCCCAUUGCAUCGCCCACACUGACAGAAAAUCAGGGUCCCCUAUCGGCGGCAUGGUCCCACCCUGGCUUUCUGAAGGACCAAGUUGAUGCAGGCCGGUGUAUAAAUCACAGGCGGAGGGGGUACCCAAUACCACACGUCUGGAGUGCCAAACCUCCCACUCCCCAGCACAAGAAACUUCAGCUUUCUAUUCCUGGGAAUAGGCUGACACUGGCAUACCACCCGGAACUCUGACAAAGACCUUACUACAGUACCUUCCCUUAUGCAGCUGCAGUUACCAUGUGUUUUGAGACUUCACAAGCUCUCAUAGGCUUACUCUUGCUAUGUUUGUUCAAUUUAUGCCAAGCUGGUUAACUUUGUUGUUCUCUAAGCCUGCUCAUUUCAGAUUCAUAUUAGUGCAGGGAUCAUUCCCUUACACCUCA
This is a non-coding RNA of Pelobates cultripes (western spadefoot toad), 1096 nucleotides long. The record is from the annotation of a GenBank genome assembly. Lineage: Eukaryota; Metazoa; Chordata; Amphibia; Anura; Pelobatidae.